AUUGAACGCUGGCGGCAGGCCUAACACAUGCAAGUCGAGCGGAACGGCGGACGGGUGAGUAAUGCCUAGGAAUCUGCCUGGGCGUGGGGGAUAACGUCCGGAAACGGGCGCUAAUACCGCAUCAUAUCAGAUGAGCCUAGGUCGGAUUGGCUAGUUGGUGGGGUAAAGGCCUACAAAGGCGACGAUCCGUAUCUGGUCUGAGAGGAUGAUCAGUCACACUGGGACUGAGACACGGUCCAGACUCCUACGGGAGGAAGCAGUGGGGAAUAUUGGACAAUGGGCGAAAGCCGGAUCCAGCCAUGCCGCGUGAGUGAAGAAGGUCUUCGGAUUGUAAAGCACUUUAAGUUGGGAGGCGUUACCAACAGAAUAAGCACCGGCUAACUUCGUGCCAGCAGCCGCGGUAAUUC
RNAcentral lists this ribosomal RNA (407 nucleotides) under uncultured bacterium. RNAcentral's name for it is "partial 16S ribosomal RNA". It matches the Rfam family "Bacterial small subunit ribosomal RNA", at positions 30 to 526 of the family's 1533-position model. The record is from RNAcentral.